AUUGAACGCUGGCGGCAGGCCUAACACAUGCAAGUCGAACGGUAGCACAGAGAGCUUGCUCUCGGGUGACGAGUGGCGGACGGGUGAGUAAUGUCUGGGAAACUGCCCGAUGGAGGGGGAUAACUACUGGAAACGGUAGCUAAUACCGCAUAACGUCGCAAGACCAAAGUGUGGGACCUUCGGGCCUCACACCAUCGGAUGUGCCCAGAUGGGAUUAGCUAGUAGGUGGGGUAAUGGCUCACCUAGGCGACGAUCCCUAGCUGGUCUGAGAGGAUGACCAGCCACACUGGAACUGAGACACGGUCCAGACUCCUACGGGAGGCAGCAGUGGGGAAUAUUGCACAAUGGGCGCAAGCCUGAUGCAGCCAUGCCGCGUGUAUGAAGAAGGCCUUCGGGUUGUAAAGUACUUUCAGCGGGGAGGAAGGCGGUGGAGUUAAUAACUUCACCGAUUGACGUUACCCGCAGAAGAAGCACCGGCUAACUCCGUGCCAGCAGCCGCAGUAA
RNAcentral lists this ribosomal RNA (504 nucleotides) under uncultured bacterium. Its description in RNAcentral is "partial 16S ribosomal RNA". It matches the Rfam family "Bacterial small subunit ribosomal RNA", at positions 30 to 523 of the family's 1533-position model. The record is from RNAcentral.